RNAcentral lists this transfer RNA (69 nucleotides) under marine eukaryotic metagenome. It matches the Rfam family "tRNA". Rfam says of the family: Transfer RNA (tRNA) molecules are approximately 80 nucleotides in length. Their secondary structure includes four short double-helical elements and three loops (D, anti-codon, and T loops). Further hydrogen bonds mediate the characteristic L-shaped molecular structure. tRNAs have two regions of fundamental functional importance: the anti-codon, which is responsible for specific mRNA codon recognition, and the 3' end, to which the tRNAs corresponding amino acid is attached (by aminoacyl-tRNA synthetases). tRNAs cope with the degeneracy of the genetic code in two manners: having more than one tRNA (with a specific anti-codon) for a particular amino acid; and 'wobble' base-pairing, i.e. permitting non-standard base-pairing at the 3rd anti-codon position. The record is from RNAcentral.
CCAGUAGCUCAGUUGGUUAGAGCAGUCGACUCAUAAUCGAUCGGUCGCAGGUUCAAGUCCUGCCUGGCC